RNAcentral lists this ribosomal RNA (478 nucleotides) under uncultured bacterium. RNAcentral describes it as "partial 16S ribosomal RNA". It matches the Rfam family "Bacterial small subunit ribosomal RNA", at positions 28 to 507 of the family's 1533-position model. The record is from RNAcentral.
GAUGAACGCUGGCGGCGUGCUUAACACAUGCAAGUCGAACGAGAAGUGAAGACGGAAACCUUCGGGCGGAAGGCUUUAUUUCGAGUGGCGGACGGGUGAGUAACGCGUGGGUAACCUGCCUCAUACAGGGGGAUAACAGUUGGAAACGACUGUUAAUACCGCAUAAGACCACAGCACCGCAUGGUGCGGGGGUAAAAACUCCGGUGGUAUGAGAUGGACCCGCGUUCGAUUAGCCAGUUGGCGGGGUAACGGCCCACCAAAGCGACGAUCGAUAGCCGAUCCGAGAGGAUGACCGGCCACAGUGGGACUGAGACACGGCCCAAACUCCUACGGGAGGCAGCAGUGGGGAAUAUUGCACAAUGGGGGAAACCCUGAUGCAGCGACGCCGCGUGAGUGAAGAAGUAUUUCGGUAUGUAAAGCUCUAUCAGCAGGGAAGAAAAUGACGGUACCUGAGGAAGAAGCCCCGGCUAACUACGUG